Long non-coding RNA from Fopius arisanus, 285 nucleotides. RefSeq lists it as uncharacterized. The transcript is spliced from 3 exons. The record is from RefSeq and is a predicted model, not a curated record. NCBI's taxonomy places the organism in Eukaryota, Metazoa, Arthropoda, Insecta, Hymenoptera, Braconidae.
AACAAAAAAAGUGAUUUCACAAAUUCUGUCUAGGCACUUGUUGAAAGAAAGACAAAGAAAAUCGCUUAGGAAUUAUGCGAUAGAAUUGCUCUCUGAGAAUAUCCGAUUCACGGCCUUUGGAUUUUUUUCUUUGGACACUUCUCUAAUGAUGUCGAUCGGCAACGCUAUAAUAGUGUACCAGAUAGUUUUACACGAAUUAGUAGAGGAAGAAUAAUUAAUGAAAUGUUUCCUCAGUAUAAAUGGUAAUAACUAAGAAAAAAAUUUUGUAAACCAAUGCACGGUAAU